This 1964-nucleotide long non-coding RNA is filed under the name Mus musculus (house mouse). RNAcentral describes it as "long non-coding RNA chr5:105957858-105959822". Lineage: Eukaryota; Metazoa; Chordata; Mammalia; Rodentia; Muridae. The record is from RNAcentral.
AAAAUGUCCAGAACUCAUACUUUCAAGUUUAAGAUGGCUAAUUUCUUCUUUGAUUCUGGAAUACAUUUCUCUCAUCUCUUUUUAAGAUUACAUAUUUAUUUAUGUAUUUAUGUGUAUGUGUGUGUUUGUGCAUAUGUGUAUAUAUGUAUGAGUGUGCAUGUAUGUGUGUGAGUGCCUGUGUGUAUGUGUGUGCCUAUGUGUAUAUGUAUAUGAGUAUGUGUGUGUAUUUGUGUAUAUAUGUGUGAGUUUUUGUUUGUGUAUGAAUGUGUGUGUAUAUGUGUAUGUGUACGUGUGUGUCUAUGUAUCUCUGUGCAUAUGUAUGUAUAUGUCUCUGUGUGUAUGGGUAUGUGUAUGCCUAUGUGUGUAUGUAUAUGUACAUGUGUGUAUGUGUGUGCAUCUCUGUGUGUUUGUAUGUGUGUAUAUGUAUGUGUUCAUGUGUGUAUGUGUGUGCAUCUCUGUGUGUUUGUAUGUGUGUAUAUGUAUAUAAGUGUGUGAGUGCAUAUGAGUGUGCAUAUAUAUAUUUCUCCUUGUGUAUGUGUGUCUCUGUGCAUGUAUAUGUAUAUGUAUAUGUCUGUGUGUGUAUGGGUAUGUGUGUAUAUGUGUCUGCCUAUGUGUGUAUGUGUGUGUACAUAUGUGUAGGUGUGUGCGUCUCUGUGUGUAUGUAUGUGUGUAUAUAUAUGUGACUAUAUAUGUGUGUGAGUGGGUAUAAGUAUGUGUAUAUAUGUAUUUAUGUGAGUGUGUAUUUCUGCAUAUGUUUGUGUAUGGGUAUGCUCUGCAUGUGUGUAUGUGUAGAGCACACCUUUGAGGAGUCUAAUUUCUCCAUCCACCAUGAGUCACUAGGAUUCAAUGAACUCAGGCUGUGAGACUGGUGGCAAGUGCUAUAUGUGUUGAGUCAUUCUCAUCGUCCACCUCUUUUAAAAUAGAACAUUCUAGCAUAUGUGCUACGUAGAAAAAUCAAGCAUGCAGUGAUGCAGUGAGGCAGAAGCAGUAGCAGAACUAAUGUCUUCCUACUGCUGCAUGCCUUUUGAAGAAGGGCGUGACAGGCUGGGCUCAUACUAUGCAUGUGGACUCGUCCCGUCUUUGUAAGGUGGGAAGGAAAAGUUCCUGUGGACAGAUGUGAUCGCCACAGCCUUGGAUUAAUGAGUGCGAAUGUCUCAUUUCUACUCAAAUGUUCUCUACUGCAGCCUAAAGCUAUUCUACGAUAUUAGUUGGCCUUUCACAAAAAAAGGUUCUUUAAUAAAAUUUGUAGAAAGUUUAAUAUUUGAAUGGCUAUAAUGAUUCUUCAACAAGAGAAAACAGUGCAAAGUUUCUCAAGUUGCUUGUCUGUGGAAUCCCCUUGCUAGGGAACACCUACAUCAAGUUCAUUGCAUGAAACCAGUGUGGAGGGAAGGCACUGCAACCGGGUUCUUGCAUGGUAAUUAUCACGUUGUUGCGUGGUCAUACAGGUUGCAGAACAUUUGAUCUGAACCAGGCGCCUGGAUUCUUUGUCUUGGUCCCAUUUUGUUCUGUUCUACGCUUUCUAUUGUUUCUCAUCAAAUGACUGUGGGCACAUGUGACCAGGGUGGGGGUGGGGCCAGGAUAGUGGGAGCUGUCCUGGAACAAGAGCAGAGAUGGAGGCUUCCUCUCUCCGUGCUCCUUUACGACCCUCUGCCCCCGAGGGCCCCCCCAUACCCCCCAGGUCAGACUUGUAGCCUAUGGCCAAAUUACAGAUUCAACUUCCUCCCUCCAGGAUAAGAAUCAGCCAGGCAGGUUUUUGGAAUUCCUCUUUAUGUAAAUGAAGCAUUCCCUGGCCUCCACCCUAGCCAAUAACACAUACCCACCUUUGAAACCCCUAUCCACUCCCCACAGUCUAUAUAGCCCUUCUUUACCUCAAAUAAAGUUGAUCUGUCUCACUGAAACUGAUUCUGGAAGUCAAUCUGUUGACCCUGUUCCCUCCACACCCACCCCCUGAACCUUGCUCCCCC